UCAGGAUUAACGCUGGCGGCAUGCCUAAUACAUGCAAGUCGAAUGGAAGAGCUUGCUUUCCAUGGCGAACGGGUGAGUAACACGUAGGUAACCUACCUCAAGGACGAGGAUAACCUUUGGAAACGAAGGAUAAUACUGGAUAGGACAUCAUAAAACACAUGUUUAGAUGUUUAAAGGAGCAAUCCACCAUAAGAGGGGGCCCUGCGGCGCAUUAGCUAGUUGGUAAGGUAAAGGCCUACCAAGGCGAUGAUGCGUAGCCGGACUGAGAGGUUGAACGGCCACAAUGGGACUGAGAACGGCCCAUACUCCUACGGGAGGCAGCAGUAGGGAAUUUUCGGCAAUGGACAAAAGUCUGACCGAGCAAUGCCCGCGUGAUCGAAGAAGUAUUUCGGUAUGUAAAGAUCUUUUAUCAGGGAAGAAAAGACAGAUUGACUGAACCUGAUGAAUAAGCUCCGGCUAACUACGUGCCAGCAGCCGC
Molecule: ribosomal RNA, 478 nt
Filed under: uncultured bacterium
Lineage: Bacteria
Description: bacterial SSU rRNA
Rfam family: Bacterial small subunit ribosomal RNA
Source: RNAcentral